Molecule: long non-coding RNA, 259 nt
Filed under: Lathyrus oleraceus (garden pea)
Lineage: Eukaryota; Viridiplantae; Streptophyta; Magnoliopsida; Fabales; Fabaceae
Description: Pisum sativum (pea) long non-coding RNA (PSAT_LNC027229)
Source: RNAcentral
AAACUUAUGUAAUCUAGAGUGCUUCUAAGAUAAGCAAAUAUUACAACAGUAAGAACAAAGAUGUUUCACGUUUCAAGCAACAGCUUCGUGAAGAUUGAAGAGUAAGAAUGUUUUUGUAUGCGUUGAUGUUUCAGUAUUUUCCUGCUACUUGUGUCUUCAAUGUUGAUUGCAGCCCAUUUUAUAUAUCAGUGAGGUAGUAGUUGAAACUGAUGGAUAAUAAAAUGAAUUUACGCCAUAACUUAAAUAGCUUCUUGUCAGA